RNAcentral lists this ribosomal RNA (250 nucleotides) under uncultured bacterium. RNAcentral describes it as "partial 16S ribosomal RNA". It matches the Rfam family "Bacterial small subunit ribosomal RNA", at positions 524 to 770 of the family's 1533-position model. The record is from RNAcentral.
UACGGAGGGGGUUAGCGUUGUUCGGAAUUACUGGGCGUAAAGCGCGCGUAGGUGGUUUGUUAAGUCAGAUGUGAAAGCCCAGGGCUCAACCUUGGAACUGCAUCUGAUACUGGCAGGCUAGAGUAUGGUAGAGGGAGGUAGAAUUCCACGUGUAGCGGUGAAAUGCGUAGAGAUGUGGAGGAAUACCAGUGGCGAAGGCGGCCUCCUGGACCAAUACUGACACUGAGGUGCGGAAAAGCGAUGGGGAGCA